UACUCUUCUCCAAGUCAGUUUAGGAAAACUAGAAGGCAAGCAAUAGAACUUGAAAUUUUGAUUCCUCUAUAUCCUAAAGGGAUACAGAGGCAAAAUUAAGUUUAUACACUUUUUCCUAAUUCCUUUAAAAAAAAAUUAAUUUCAUUUCUAUUUCUUUAAUCAAAUUCAAGUUUUUACUUAUUAAAUUUUUCUUAAAGAUAA
RNAcentral lists this unclassified non-coding RNA (201 nucleotides) under Hevea brasiliensis (rubber tree). Lineage: Eukaryota; Viridiplantae; Streptophyta; Magnoliopsida; Malpighiales; Euphorbiaceae. The record is from RNAcentral.